GUAGGUGAACCUGCGGAAGGAUCAUUAUCACGUAUCCACGUAUCAACCAUUGUGAACUGUUCUACCGUUGAAAUGUGUGGGGGAGUGUUGCAAUAAACGUUUUCUUCUCUGGAAGAAAGAAGCAGUCAUGAUUUGAAGUUGUUUUAGUCUAUUGUGGCCCACAAUUCUAAAUUGUCUCCCACAUUUUCAGCGAGUAUUUAAUUUCAAAUCAUUUAUUAACCAUUUAAACCCAAUUUAUCUUAAAUUGUGA
Molecule: unclassified non-coding RNA, 250 nt
Filed under: plant metagenome
Description: partial contains small subunit ribosomal RNA, internal transcribed spacer 1, and 5.8S ribosomal RNA
Source: RNAcentral